RNAcentral lists this ribosomal RNA (503 nucleotides) under uncultured bacterium. Its description in RNAcentral is "partial 16S ribosomal RNA". It matches the Rfam family "Bacterial small subunit ribosomal RNA", at positions 30 to 523 of the family's 1533-position model. The record is from RNAcentral.
AUUGAACGCUGGCGGCAGGCUUAACACAUGCAAGUCGAGCGGAGUGGUGGUGCUUGCACUAUCACUUAGCGGCGGGCGGGUGAGUAAUGCUUAGGAAUCUGCCUCUUAGUGGGGGACAACAUCUCGAAAGGGAUGCUAAUACCGCAUACGUCCUACGGGAGAAAGCAGGGGAUCACUUGUGACCUUGCGCUAAUCGAUGAGCCUAAGUCGGAUUAGCUAGUUGGUGGGGUAAAGGCCUACCAAGGCGACGAUCUGGAGCGGGUCUGAGAGGAUGAUCCGCCACACUGGGACUGAGACACGGCCCAGACUCCUACGGGAGGCAGCAGUGGGGAAUAUUGGACAAUGGGGGGAACCCUGAUCCAGCCAUGCCGCGUGUGUGAAGAAGGCCUUAUGGUUGUAAAGCACUUUAAGCGAGGAGGAGGCUCUUUUGGUUAAUACCCAAGAUGAGUGGACGUUACUCGCAGAAUAAGCACCGGCUAACUCUGUGCUAGCAGCCGCCGCAG